This 72-nucleotide transfer RNA is filed under the name Daphnia magna. It matches the Rfam family "tRNA". Rfam says of the family: Transfer RNA (tRNA) molecules are approximately 80 nucleotides in length. Their secondary structure includes four short double-helical elements and three loops (D, anti-codon, and T loops). Further hydrogen bonds mediate the characteristic L-shaped molecular structure. tRNAs have two regions of fundamental functional importance: the anti-codon, which is responsible for specific mRNA codon recognition, and the 3' end, to which the tRNAs corresponding amino acid is attached (by aminoacyl-tRNA synthetases). tRNAs cope with the degeneracy of the genetic code in two manners: having more than one tRNA (with a specific anti-codon) for a particular amino acid; and 'wobble' base-pairing, i.e. permitting non-standard base-pairing at the 3rd anti-codon position. The record is from Rfam by way of RNAcentral. Lineage: Eukaryota; Metazoa; Arthropoda; Branchiopoda; Diplostraca; Daphniidae.
UUGUGUGUAGCUCAAUGGCGAGAGCGUUGGAAUAGCAUUCCGAAGGUCUUGGUUUCAAAUCCAAUAGAGAAA